GACGAACGCUGGCGGCGUGCCUAAUACAUGCAAGUAGAACGCUGAAGGAGGAGCUUGCUUCUCUGGAUGAGUUGCGAACGGGUGAGUAACGCGUAGGUAACCUGCCUGGUAGCGGGGGAUAACUAUUGGAAACGAUAGCUAAUACCGCAUAAGAGUAGAUGUUGCAUGACAUUUGCUUAAAAGGUGCAAUUGCAUCACUACCAGAUGGACCUGCGUUGUAUUAGCUAGUUGGUGGGGUAACGGCUCACCAAGGCGACGAUACAUAGCCGACCUGAGAGGGUGAUCGGCCACACUGGGACUGAGACACGGCCCAGAAUCCUACGGGAGGCAGCAGUAGGGAAUCUUCGGCAAUGGACGGAAGUCUGACCGAGCAACGCCGCGUGAGUGAAGAAGGUUUUCGGAUCGUAAAGCUCUGUUGUAAGAGAAGAACGAGUGUGAGAGUGGAAAGUUCACACUGUGACGGUAUCUUACCAGAAGGGACGGCUAACUACGU
RNAcentral lists this ribosomal RNA (493 nucleotides) under uncultured bacterium. RNAcentral describes it as "partial 16S ribosomal RNA". It matches the Rfam family "Bacterial small subunit ribosomal RNA", at positions 28 to 506 of the family's 1533-position model. The record is from RNAcentral.